AAGAAAGUAGAAAAGGGCGCAAGGUGGAUGCCUUGGCUCACGGAGGCGAUGAAGGACGUGAUAAGCUGCGAUAAGCCUCGGGUAGAUGCAAAUAAUCUUUGAUCCGAGGAUUUCCGAAUGGGACAACCCGUCUGUCUGAAGGACAGUCACUAUCUUAAGAUAGAGCUAACGCAGGGAACUGAAACAUCUUAGUACCUGCAGGAAGAGAAAAUAAAUUAAUGAUUCCCCUAGUAGUGGCGAGCGAACGGGGAAGAGCCCAAACCAUGAUUGUGGCAACGCAACCAUGGGGUUGUAGGACCACGCUGUGGCACGAUGCUUGUGAGAAGAACGUUCUGGAAAGAACGACCAUAGAGGGUGAGAGUCCCGUAUUCGAAGCACGCUGAAGCCUAGUGGUAUCCUGAGUAACGCGGAACACGAGGAAUUCUGCGCGAAUCCGCCGGGACCAUCCGGUAAGGCUAAAUACUCCCGUGAGACCGAUAGCGAACCAGUACUGUGAAGGAAAGGUGAAAAGAACCCCGAGCAGGGGAGUGAAAGAGAUCCUGAAACCUUGCGCCUACAAGCGGUCGGAGCUGCUUAUAGCAGUGACGGCGUGCCUUUUGCAUAAUGAACCUACGAGUUACCAUCUCUGGCGAGGUUAAGCGGGACGACCCGCGCAACCGCAGUGAAAGCGAGCCUGAACAGGGCGUCGAGUCAGAGGGGGUAGACGCGAAACCAAGUGAUCUA
This 723-nucleotide ribosomal RNA is filed under the name Leyella stercorea. RNAcentral describes it as "partial 23S ribosomal RNA". It matches the Rfam family "Bacterial large subunit ribosomal RNA", at positions 1 to 732 of the family's 2925-position model. The record is from RNAcentral. Lineage: Bacteria; Pseudomonadati; Bacteroidota; Bacteroidia; Bacteroidales; Prevotellaceae.